This 369-nucleotide ribosomal RNA is filed under the name uncultured organism. Its description in RNAcentral is "bacterial SSU rRNA". It matches the Rfam family "Bacterial small subunit ribosomal RNA", at positions 526 to 896 of the family's 1533-position model. The record is from RNAcentral.
CGUAGGGUGCAAGCGUUAAUCGGAAUUACUGGGCGUAAAGCGUGCGCAGGCGGUUAUGAAGACAGGUGUGAAAUCCCCGGGCUUAACCUGGGAACUGCAUUUGUGACUGCAUAGCUAGAGUACGGUAGAGGGGGAUGGAAUUCCGCGUGUAGCAGUGAAAUGCGUAGAUAUGCGGAGGAACACCGAUGGCGAAGGCAAUCCCCUGGACCUGUACUGACGCUCAUGCACGAAAGCGUGGGGAGCAAACAGGAUUAGAUACCCUGGUAGUCCACGCCCUAAACGAUGUCAACUGGUUGUUGGGUCUUCACUGACUCAGUAACGAAGCUAACGCGUGAAGUUGACCGCCUGGGGAGUACGGCCGCAAGGUUG